UGUAAGCGUAUACCAAAGUUGUUGCAGUUAGAACGCUCGUAGUCGGACUUUGGCAGUUCCGGAUGUGUGCACGUCGUGUGCGCACUUCGCGGGGAUUGCUUUUGUGGUCUUGCGUAGGAUGAGGCACUUUUAUUAGUGAACGUCCUCACGCAACCACUUUUUACUGUGAGAAAAUCAGAGUGCUCAAAGCAGGCAUUUGCCGUGAAUGUAUUAGCAUGGAAUAAUAGAAUAGGACUUGGUUCUAUUUUGUUGGUUUGUUGGGACUGAGUAAUGAUUAAGAGGGACAGUUGGGGGCAUUUGUAUUUCGGUGCUAGAGGUGAAAUUCUUAGAUUACCGAAAGACAAACUGCUGCGAAAGCGUCUGCCAAGGAUGUUUUCAUUGA
Molecule: ribosomal RNA, 382 nt
Filed under: uncultured eukaryote
Lineage: Eukaryota
Description: partial 18S ribosomal RNA
Rfam family: Eukaryotic small subunit ribosomal RNA
Source: RNAcentral